Molecule: ribosomal RNA, 497 nt
Filed under: uncultured bacterium
Lineage: Bacteria
Description: bacterial SSU rRNA
Rfam family: Bacterial small subunit ribosomal RNA
Source: RNAcentral
AUUGAACGCUGGCGGCAUGCCUUACACAUGCAAGUCGAACGGUAACAGGUCUUCGGAUGCUGACGAGUGGCGAACGGGUGAGUAAUACAUCGGAACGUGCCCGAUCGUGGGGGAUAACGGAGCGAAAGCUUUGCUAAUACCGCAUACGAUCUACGGAUGAAAGCAGGGGACCGCAAGGCCUUGCGCGGACGGAGCGGCCGAUGGCAGAUUAGGUAGUUGGUGGGAUAAAAGCUUACCAAGCCGACGAUCUGUAGCUGGUCUGAGAGGACGACCAGCCACACUGGGACUGAGACACGGCCCAGACUCCUACGGGAGGCAGCAGUGGGGAAUUUUGGACAAUGGGCGCAAGCCUGAUCCAGCCAUGCCGCGUGCAGGAUGAAGGCCUCGGUUGUAACUGCUUUGUACGGACGAAAGACUACUUCUAAUAAGAGGUCCGAUGACGGUACCGUAAGAAUAAGACACCGGCUAACUACGUAGCCAGCAGCCGCGGUAACACG